CUCCAGGCGGAGCCUUUGGUUGGCACUCUUGUUCCCGAGGCCCAAACAAGAAUCGCGGCCUCGGCCCCGGGGAGGCGGGGAGGGGGGAUUUGGCUGGCUCGCGGCGGCGACUCAAAGGGAGAAGAAAACAGGGAGAGUCAGGCUUGGUAGACACGGAAAAAGCCCCAGGGCGGGCACAGAGCCUAAAGAGCACCCCCUCGCCUCAGCUCCCUGGGCAAGGCAAAGGAGGGAUUGGAAUGUCUCCUCAACCCUGAUGAAGGAAGAAGGGCUCAACACACACCCUGGAAGAGACAAGGCAUGGAGUUGUGGUCUCUGCAGUGAUAAGUGCUGAGACAUAAGAUCAUCUGAAAGUUGGAAGAAUCCUGUUGGAUCCCAUCCAGCAUCCUGUUUCCCAAAGUGAUAAACCACAUGUCCUCUAAAAGCCUAUAAGAAGGGUGAGAAAGCUUACCCCUAUACAUAGAAUUCCAACGUAAAAUAUUGUCACAGACCUCUGCCAUGGAUUGUGAUCUAAGAUUAUUAUAACAAUGUCAAUCAUAGUCUUCAUUCCGGAAUUCUAUGGCAUUAAUCCCAAAUCUUACUCAAUGCAAAGGGAGAGGCACAGGCUUCCAUUAGUAAUCUUGAGACUGGACCAAAUCUAAUAUAUUUUCAUUCUUAGAUUAAGCUAAAAGGUCACACUACCUUCAACUGAACUCUAUCUAGAUCUUUGGAACUUCAAGCACCACAGUUACCAAGAAUUUUUUGACCUUGCAGGUUUGGGAAUAAUAAAGGCUGAAUGCCAGUAACUCUGAAGGACAAUGAGAUGUUUUCUGGAUACCCAGAGAAAAAAAUAUUAUCAACUAAGAGUACAAUCCUGAAUAAAAUGCCCUGCUCAUGCUUU
Thamnophis elegans (Western terrestrial garter snake) is the source of this 877-nucleotide long non-coding RNA. RefSeq lists it as uncharacterized. The transcript is spliced from 2 exons. NCBI's taxonomy places the organism in Eukaryota, Metazoa, Chordata, Lepidosauria, Squamata, Natricidae. The record is from RefSeq and is a predicted model, not a curated record.